UUUCCGUAGGUGAACCUGCGGAAGGAUCAUUAUUGUAUAACCGAGGUGCGAGGGCUGUCGCUGACCCGAAAGGUCGUGCACGCCCGAGUGCCCUCACACACAUCCAUCUCCCCCCUAUGUGCACCACCGCGUGGGUCCCCCUUUGGCUUGUUCGGAGGGGGGCUUACGUUUUCACACAAACUUUGUAUGCAGUGUAGAAUGUAUUUUUGUUUUUGCGAUCACGCAAUCAAUACAACUUUCAACAACGGAUCUCUUGGCUCUC
Molecule: unclassified non-coding RNA, 262 nt
Filed under: plant metagenome
Description: partial contains small subunit ribosomal RNA, internal transcribed spacer 1, and 5.8S ribosomal RNA
Source: RNAcentral